AUUGAACGCUGGCGGCAUGCCUUACACAUGCAAGUCGAACGGUAACAGGUCUUCGGAUGCUGACGAGUGGCGAACGGGUGAGUAAUACAUCGGAACGUGCCUAGUAGUGGGGGAUAACUACUCGAAAGAGUGGCUAAUACCGCAUGAGAUCUACGGAUGAAAGCAGGGGAUCGCAAGACCUUGUGCUACUAGAGCGGCCGAUGGCAGAUGAGGUAGUUGGUGGGAUAAAAGCUUACCAAGCCGACGAUCUGUAGCUGGUCUGAGAGGACGAUCAGACACACUGGGACUGGGACACGGCCCAGACUGCUACGGGAGGCAGCAGUGGGGAAUUUUGGACAAUGGGCGCAAGCCUGAUCCAGCAAUGCCGCGUGCAGGAUGAAGGCCUUCGGAUUGUAAACUGCUUUUGUACGGAACGAAAAGCCCCGGGUUAAUACCCUGGGGUCAUGACGGUACCGUAAGAAUAAGCACCGGCUAACUACGUGCCAGCCGCCGCCGUAA
RNAcentral lists this ribosomal RNA (498 nucleotides) under uncultured bacterium. RNAcentral describes it as "partial 16S ribosomal RNA". It matches the Rfam family "Bacterial small subunit ribosomal RNA", at positions 30 to 523 of the family's 1533-position model. The record is from RNAcentral.